UACAGGGGGUGCAAACGUUGCUCGGAAUCAUUGGGCGUAAAGCGCACGUAGGCGGUUCGUUAUGUCGGAUGUGAAAGCCCUUGGCUUAACCGAGGAAGUGCAUCCGAAACUGGCGAGCUAGAGUACUAAAGAGGAUCGCGGAAUUCCCGGUGUAGAGGUGAAAUUCGUAGAUAUCGGGAGGAACACCGGUGGCGAAGGCGGCGAUCUGGGUAGAUACUGACGCUGAAGUGCGAAAGCGUGGGGAGCAAACAGG
This 253-nucleotide ribosomal RNA is filed under the name uncultured bacterium. Its description in RNAcentral is "partial 16S ribosomal RNA". It matches the Rfam family "Bacterial small subunit ribosomal RNA", at positions 524 to 776 of the family's 1533-position model. The record is from RNAcentral.